RNAcentral lists this ribosomal RNA (483 nucleotides) under uncultured bacterium. RNAcentral describes it as "partial 16S ribosomal RNA". It matches the Rfam family "Bacterial small subunit ribosomal RNA", at positions 30 to 507 of the family's 1533-position model. The record is from RNAcentral.
AUUGAACGCUGGCGGCAGGCCUAACACAUGCAAGUCGAGCGGAUGAAGGGAGCUUGCUCCUGGAUUCAGCGGCGGACGGGUGAGUAAUGCCUAGGAAUCUGCCUGGUGGUGGGGGAUAACGUCCGGUAACGGGCGCUAAUACCGCAUACGUCCUGAGGGAGAAAGUGGGGAUCUUCGGACCUAACGCUAUUAGAUGAGCCUAGGUCGGAUUAGCUAGUUGGUGGGGUAAAGGCCUACCAAGGCGACGAUCCGUAACUGGUCUGAGAGGAUGAUCAGUCACACUGGAACUGAGACACGGUCCAGACUCCUACGGGAGGCAGCAGUGGGGAAUAUUGGACAAUGGGCGAAAGCCUGAUCCAGCCAUGCCGCGUGUGUGAAGAAGGUCUUCGGAUUGUAAAGCACUUUAAGUUGGGAGGAAGGGCAGUAAGUUAAUACCUUGCUGUUUUGACGUUACCAACAGAAUAAGCACCGGCUAACUUCGUG